RNAcentral lists this ribosomal RNA (877 nucleotides) under uncultured Prevotella sp. RNAcentral describes it as "bacterial SSU rRNA". It matches the Rfam family "Bacterial small subunit ribosomal RNA", at positions 622 to 1512 of the family's 1533-position model. Lineage: Bacteria; Pseudomonadati; Bacteroidota; Bacteroidia; Bacteroidales; Prevotellaceae. The record is from RNAcentral.
UGCAGCGCGAACUGGCGGACUUGAGUGCACGCAACGUAUGCGGAAUCCAUGGUGUAGCGGUGAAAUGCUUAGAUAUCAUGACGAACUCCGAUUGCGAAGGCAGCGUACGGGAGUGUUACUGACGCUUAAGCUCGAAGGUGCGGGUAUCGAACAGGAUUAGAUACCCUGGUAGUCCGCACGGUAAACGAUGGAUGCCCGCUGUUAGCGCCUGGCGUUAGCGGCUAAGCGAAAGCAUUAAGCAUCCCACCUGGGGAGUACGCCGGCAACGGUGAAACUCAAAGGAAUUGACGGGGGCCCGCACAAGCGGAGGAACAUGUGGUUUAAUUCGAUGAUACGCGAGGAACCUUACCCGGGCUUGAAUUGCAGACGCAGGAUACAGAGAUGUUGACUCCCUUCGGGGCGUCUGUGAAGGUGCUGCAUGGUUGUCGUCAGCUCGUGCCGUGAGGUGUCGGCUUAAGUGCCAUAACGAGCGCAACCCCUUUCCUUAGUUGCCAUCAGGUCAUGCUGGGCACUCUGGGGACACUGCCACCGCAAGGUGUGAGGAAGGUGGGGAUGACGUCAAAUCAGCACGGCCCUUACGUCCGGGGCUACACACGUGUUACAAUGGCCGGUACAGAGGGACGGUGCGAUGCAAAUCGCAUCCAAUCUUGAAAGCCGGUCCCAGUUCGGACUGAGGUCUGCAACCCGACCUCACGAAGCUGGAUUCGCUAGUAAUCGCGCAUCAGCCAUGGCGCGGUGAAUACGUUCCCGGGCCUUGUACACACCGCCCGUCAAGCCAUGAAAGCCGGGAGUGCCUGAAGUUCGUAACCGCGAGGAGCGACCUAGGGCAAAACUGGUGAUUGGGGCUAAGUCGUAACAAGGUAGCCGUACCGGAAGG